UCCAGACUCCUACGGGAGGCAGCAGUGGGGAAUAUUGCACAAUGGGGGAAACCCUGAUGCAGCAACGCCGCGUGGGUGAAGGAGCGUUUCGGCGCGUAAAGCCCUGUCAGCGGGGAAGAAGAAAGACGGUACCCGACCAAGAAGCCCCGGCUAACUACGUGCCAGCAGCCGCGGUAAUACGUAGGGGGCAAGCGUUAUCCGGAUUUACUGGGUGUAAAGGGAGCGUAGACGGCGAUGCAAGCCAGAUGUGAAAGCCCGCGGCUCAACUGCGGUAGUGCAUUUGGAACUGUAUGGCUGGAGUGCAGGAGAGGCAGGCGGAAUUCCUAGUGUAGCGGUGAAAUGCGUAGAUAUUAGGAGGAACACCAGUGGCGAAGGCGGCCUGCUGGACUGUAACUGACGUUGAGGCUCGAAAGUGUGGGUAUCAAACAGGAUUAGAUACCCCGGUAAC
Molecule: ribosomal RNA, 448 nt
Filed under: uncultured bacterium
Lineage: Bacteria
Description: bacterial SSU rRNA
Rfam family: Bacterial small subunit ribosomal RNA
Source: RNAcentral